AGAGUUUGAUCCUGGCUCAGAACGAACGCUGGCGGCGUGCUUAACACAUGCAAGUCGAACGAGAAAGCACCUUCGGGUGUGAGUAAAGUGGCGCACGGGUGAGUAACACGUGGGUAAUCUACCCCUAGGUUCGGGAUAACUUGAGGAAACUCGGGCUAAUACCGGAUGAGACCACAGAACGUAGGUGAUGUGGGAAAAGCGGGGGCCCUCUUCGGAGGCCUCGCGCCAAGGGAUGAGCCCGCGGCCCAUCAGCUUGUUGGUAGGGUAACGGCCUACCAAGGCUAAGACGGGUAGCUGGUCUGAGAGGAUGAUCAGCCACACUGGAACUGAGACACGGUCCAGACUCCUACGGGAGGCAGCAGUGGGGAAUUUUGCGCAAUGGGGGAAACCCUGACGCAGCAACGCCGUGUGAGUGAUGAAGGCCCUCGGGUCGUAAAGCUCUGUCAGCGGGGACGAUGGUGUCGUUGGUUAAUAACCAGCGGGAUUGACGGUACUCGCAAAGGAAGCACCGGCUAACUCUGUGCCAGCAGCCGCGGUAAGACAGAGGGUGCGAGCGUUGUUCGGAUUCAUUGGGCGUAAAGCGCACGUAGGCGGUCAGAUAAGUCGGAUGUGAAAGCCCGGGGCUCAACCUCGGAAGUGCAUCCGAAAC
RNAcentral lists this ribosomal RNA (649 nucleotides) under uncultured bacterium. RNAcentral describes it as "bacterial SSU rRNA". It matches the Rfam family "Bacterial small subunit ribosomal RNA", at positions 8 to 633 of the family's 1533-position model. The record is from RNAcentral.